AUUCAGGUAUAUUACCCUAGAUAUGGGUCGUCUUGUUGCUGGCACAAAAUACCGUGGGGAAUUCGAAGAAAGAUUAAAGAAGUUAAAGGAAGAAACAACACAAAGUGAUGAUAUCAUUCUUUUUAUUGAUGAGGUUUACACUUUAAUUGGAGCUGGAGCAGCAGAAGUUGCUAUUGAUGCUGCUAAUAUAUUAAAAUGAGCCCUUACCAGAGGUGAAUUGCAGGUGGCAGUGUAUACACUUGAUGAAUACUGAAAACAUAUUGAAUAAUAUCCAGCAUUAGAGAGACAGUUCCAGCCAGUUAAGGUACCUGAGCCUUCUUUCUUUGUUUAUAGUUAAGUGAUAAUGUUGGUGGGUUAGGCAUGUUGGGUAAGAGGUCGAAAGCAGGGCUGGCAACUCGUGUUUGGUUUAGGUCGGUAGGUCCGUAUAACCCAAACCCACCUCCCACUUGAGUAGAUAAUGUUGUCGAAAAGGUGAACUCUAACCUGGUUAAAUGGUUUAGCUUGUGUAGCCAUUUACAAUUCGUUUGUAUGGCUAGUGUCAUUGUCAUAGUGAUAUCCUUUUGCAAUUUAUAGUUAGAUACCAAACUCAACCCAGUAGCUUGGUUUAAUAAGCAUGAAGCACUAAGCUGUUUUGGCCCCAAAAGAAAAAGAAAAAGCAAAAGCGAGAGCUAUAUCUUAUUUUUAUUGAAAUCCAAAAGAUAUGGUACCAAACUCAGCUAUAUCUUAUUUUUAUUUUCUCCCAUAUCUAUGUCAAAUCGAAAUGGAAAGGAUGAAUUUGGGCAUUUAAAAA
Molecule: long non-coding RNA, 790 nt
Organism: Helianthus annuus (common sunflower)
Lineage: Eukaryota; Viridiplantae; Streptophyta; Magnoliopsida; Asterales; Asteraceae
Exons: 2
Source: RefSeq, a predicted model, not a curated record